RNAcentral lists this ribosomal RNA (423 nucleotides) under Alexandrium tamarense. RNAcentral describes it as "partial Eukaryotic large subunit ribosomal RNA". It matches the Rfam family "Eukaryotic large subunit ribosomal RNA", at positions 2399 to 2828 of the family's 3401-position model. Lineage: Eukaryota; Dinophyceae; Gonyaulacales; Pyrocystaceae. The record is from RNAcentral.
GGGGAAAGAAGACCCUGUUGAGCUUGACUCUAGUCCGACGUUGUGAAAUGACUUAUGAGGUGUAGAAUAAGUGGGAGGCUUGCCAACGAUGAAAUACCACUACUCGUAAUGUUGUUUUACUUAUUCCAUUAUGUAGAAACUCUUCUUACGAAGUGUUCUAGUCUUAAAUAAUUUUAUAUUAUGAUCUACGUGGGAAACAGCAUCAGGUUGGGAGUUUGGCUGGGGCGGCACAUCUGUUAAACAAUAACACAGGUGUCCUAAGGUCAGCUCAAUGAGAACAGAAAUCUCAUGUAGAACAAAAGGGUAAAAGCUGACUUGAUUUUGAUUUUCAGUACGAAUACAAACUGUGAAAGCAUGGCCUAACGAUCCUUUAGUCUUUCGGAAUUUGAAGCUAGAGGUGUCAGAAAAGUUACCACAGGGAUA